GUCCACGCUGUAAACGAUGAAUGCUAUAUGUCGGAUUUUUUUUCGGUGUUGAAGCUAACGCAAUAAGCAUUCCGCCUGGGGACUACGGUCGCAAGAUUAAAACUCAAAGGAAUUGACGGGGGCCCGCACAAGUGGUGGAGCAUGUGGUUUAAUUCGACAAUACGCGAAGAAACUUACCAGCCCUUGACAUAUUGAUCAUAGAAUUUGGAGACUUAUUCGUCGGUUCGGCCGGAUCUUUACAGGUGUUGCAUGGCU
This 255-nucleotide ribosomal RNA is filed under the name uncultured bacterium. RNAcentral's name for it is "partial 16S ribosomal RNA". It matches the Rfam family "Bacterial small subunit ribosomal RNA", at positions 793 to 1050 of the family's 1533-position model. The record is from RNAcentral.